GACGAACGCUGGCGGUGUGCUUCACACAUGCAAGUCGAACGAGGUAGCAAUACCUAGUGGCGGACGGGUGAGUAAACGCGUGGGAAUCUGCCUUUAGAUGGGGGAUAACGGGUCGAAAGACUCGCUAAUACCGCAUAUGACGAAAGUUGAAAGGAGUAAUCCGUCUAAAGAUGAGCCCGCGUCCGAUUAGCUAGUUGGUAGAGUAAAAGCCUACCAAGGCGACGAUCGGUAGCUGGUCUGAGAGGAUGAUCAGCCACAAUGGGAACUAGAGACACGGCCCAUACUCCUACGGGAGGCAGCAGUGGGAAUUUACGCAA
Molecule: ribosomal RNA, 317 nt
Filed under: uncultured bacterium
Lineage: Bacteria
Description: bacterial SSU rRNA
Rfam family: Bacterial small subunit ribosomal RNA
Source: RNAcentral